UACGGGGGGGGCAAGCGUUGUUCGGAAUUACUGGGCGUAAAGGGCUCGUAGGUGGCCAACUAAGUCAGACGUGAAAUCCCUCGGCUUAACCGGGGAACUGCGUCUGAUACUGGAUGGCUUGAGUUUGGGAGAGGGACGCGGAAUUCCAGGUGUAGCGGUGAAAUGCGUAGAUAUCUGGAGGAACACCGGUGGCGAAGGCGGCGUCCUGGACCAACACUGACACUGAGGAGCGAAAGCCAGGGGGGCAAACGGG
Molecule: ribosomal RNA, 253 nt
Filed under: uncultured bacterium
Lineage: Bacteria
Description: partial 16S ribosomal RNA
Rfam family: Bacterial small subunit ribosomal RNA
Source: RNAcentral